CGAAAUGAGGAACUCAAAAGUCACGUGUAAAGAAAAAUCUCAGUGUAGUGAUAUUGGACAUGUUUCUAUUUUUAACAAAUGACUGAACUUAAUUAUUUGUGGUGAUUAGGAAAGUAGAGGAACAUAGAAUAAAUGUGUAAAAACUAUGGAGCUAUUGAAUGUGUUCAAAGUAUUAAAUUUUCAAAGAACUUAUUGUGUUAAAAAGGGGAUAUUUUACCACAAGGAGCCGCAUCACAAAAGGAUGUUCGGGUUUGCUAAUUUACGGAAAAAGUAAUCUCACUUCGUACCCCGAAAAUUUAACCACAUAUGUGAAAAUGUCACAGCUUCGAAACGAGCUAUCAUACAUAUCCAAGUUUACGAUAUGUACUGAGCUACAGGAAAAAACGUUACCAUUACCGCCUAUGUAAAACCAAUUAAAGAUAUUGAGCCAUUU
Molecule: long non-coding RNA, 433 nt
Filed under: Mytilus galloprovincialis (Mediterranean mussel)
Lineage: Eukaryota; Metazoa; Mollusca; Bivalvia; Mytilida; Mytilidae
Source: RNAcentral